GAUGAACGCUGGCGGCGUGCCUAAUACAUGCAAGUCGAGCGAACGGACGAGAAGCUUGCUUCUCUGAUGUUAGCGGCGGACGGGUGAGUAACACGUGGAUAACCUACCUAUAAGACUGGGAUAACUUCGGGAAACCGGGGCUAAUACCGGAUAAUAUUUUGAACCGCAUGGUUCAAAAGUGAAAGACGGUCUUGCUGUCACUUAUAGAUGGAUCCUCUCUGCAUUAGCUAGUUGGUAAGGUAACGGCUUACCAAGGCAACGAUGCAUAGCCGACCUGAGAGGGUGAUCGGCCACACUGGAACUGAGACACGGUCCAGACUCCUACGGGAGGCAGCAGUAGGGAAUCUUCCGCAAUGGGCGAAAGCCUGACGGAGCAACGCCGCGUGAGUGAUGAAGGUCUUCGGAUCGUAAAACUCUGUUAUUAGGGAAGAACAUAUGUGUAAGUAACUGUGCACAUCUUGACGGUACCUAAUCAGAAAGCCACGGCUAACUACGUG
Molecule: ribosomal RNA, 497 nt
Filed under: uncultured bacterium
Lineage: Bacteria
Description: partial 16S ribosomal RNA
Rfam family: Bacterial small subunit ribosomal RNA
Source: RNAcentral